CAAGACCUAUAAGGAAAGGAGACGAUCCGCAAGGAGUUUCUGUGUAGAGAUGAGCCUGCGUCCCAUUAGCUAGUUGGCAGGGUAAGAGCCUACCAAGGCGACGAUGGGUAGCGGGUCUGAGAGGAUGAUCCGCCACACUGGAACUGAAACACGGACCAGACUCCUACGGGAGGCAGCAGUGAGGAAUAUUGGACAAUGGGCGCAAGCCUGAUCCAGCGACGCCGCGUGAGUGAUGAAGGCCUUUGGGUCGUAAAGCUCUGUCAGCAGGGAAGAACGGCCGUGUGGUUAAUACCCAUGCGGAUUGACGGUACCUGCAGAGGAAGCACCGGCUAACUCCGUGCCAGCAACCGCGGUAAUACGGAGGGUGCGAGCGUUAAUCGGAAUUACUGGGCGUAAAGGGCGCGUGGGCGGCUGAUCAAGUCAGGUGUGAAAGCCCACGGCUUAACCGUGUGAAGUGCAUCUGAAACUGGUCGGCUUGAGUAUCGGAGAGGAAAGUGGAAUUCCCGGUGUAGAGGUGAAAUUCGUAGAUAUCGGGAGGAAUACCGGUGGCGAAGGCGACUUUCUGGACGAAUACUGACGCUGAGGCGCGAAAGCGUGGGGAGCAAACAGGAUUAG
This 615-nucleotide ribosomal RNA is filed under the name uncultured bacterium. RNAcentral's name for it is "bacterial SSU rRNA". It matches the Rfam family "Bacterial small subunit ribosomal RNA", at positions 189 to 781 of the family's 1533-position model. The record is from RNAcentral.